Molecule: ribosomal RNA, 445 nt
Filed under: uncultured bacterium
Lineage: Bacteria
Description: bacterial SSU rRNA
Rfam family: Bacterial small subunit ribosomal RNA
Source: RNAcentral
GUGAGGAAUAUUGGUCAAUGGGCGCAAGCCUGAACCAGCCAUGCCGCGUGCAGGAAGACGGUCCUAUGGAUUGUAAACUGCUUUUAUUUGGGAAUAAACCUCCUUACGUGUAGGGAGCUGAAGGUACCAAAUGAAUAAGCACCGGCUAACUCCGUGCCAGCAGCCGCGGUAAUACGGAGGGUGCAAGCGUUAUCCGGAAUCAUUGGGUUUAAAGGGUCCGCAGGCGGUCAUAUAAGUCAGUGGUGAAAGCCUACAGCUCAACUGUAGAACUGCCAUUGAUACUGUAUGACUUGAAUUCGAUCGAAGUGGGCGGAAUGUGACAUGUAGCGGUGAAAUGCUUAGAUAUGUCACAGAACACCGAUAGCGAAGGCAGCUCACUAGGUCUGGAUUGACGCUCAGGGACGAAAGCGUGGGGAGCAAACAGGAUUAGAAACCCUAGUAGUCC